UGGGGAAUUUUGGACAAUGGGCGAAAGCCUGAUCCAGCAAUGCCGCGUGUGUGAAGAAGGCCUUCGGGUUGUAAAGCACUUUUGUCCGGAAAGAAAUCCUUGGCUCUAAUACAGUCGGGGGAUGACGGUACCGGAAGAAUAAGCACCGGCUAACUACGUGCCAGCAGCCGCGGUAAUACGUAGGGUGCAAGCGUUAAUCGGAAUUACUGGGCGUAAAGCGUGCGCAGGCGGUUUGCUAAGACCGAUGUGAAAUCCCCGGGCUCAACCUGGGAACUGCAUUGGUGACUGGCAGGCUAGAGUAUGGCAGAGGGGGGUAGAAUUCCACGUGUAGCAGUGAAAUGCGUAGAGAUGUGGAGGAAUACCGAUGGCGAGCGAGCCCGGCAAUACUGAGCUCAUGCACGAAAGCGUGGGGAGCAAACAGGAUUAGAUACCCUGGUAGUCCACGCCCUAAACGAUGUC
This 459-nucleotide ribosomal RNA is filed under the name uncultured bacterium. RNAcentral describes it as "partial 16S ribosomal RNA". It matches the Rfam family "Bacterial small subunit ribosomal RNA", at positions 355 to 813 of the family's 1533-position model. The record is from RNAcentral.